GGGCUACACGGCGCCGAGGGGCGGGGCUACACGGGGCCAGGCUGCAGAGCCUGAGGAGGACAGAAACUGUGGCCAGCCAUAUGGGAGACACCUGGCCACAAGAUCACAGCAAGCCAGAGACAAAUGUAAGAUCGCAGUCUGGGCUCACUGCCAAGGGCUGGUAUUUCACAGCAGCGACUGCCUUACAGAUAAGAGCUGUGAGAAGCAGGAGGUACAGCUCGCUUAGGGUUUGUCUGCUAUGGAGGCACAGCUGGGCUGUUCCAGAUUCGCCACGAAACAACAAGCAAAAGAGAAGAGCACUCAGUAGCCAGAAGAGCUAGCAGCCAAUCCGGCCGUGCCGCACUGUUCGAAACCCAGCUUCUCAUCUCAGCCAAUCAGUGACAUCAUUGUUUGCAUACUUAAUGAUUGAUGCCCGUACCUAACCUACCACCCACUCUCAGAGGAAAUUGCCAGCGAAGCAACAUGCAAAUGCUGUACUCUUCAAAUAAUAUUAUUCAAAGGAAAAGACAAUAAAUGAUUAUAGAUCUCCAAGGAUUACAUGAUGUUCUGUGGCCACAGAAGCGCAGCACUGAGGUGAAGUGAUAAAGAAGCAUAAGGGAACAUGGGAAUUGGCUUGCAAAAGAGAAGUGAUUUAAAAGACAUUAUUAUAUGCAAGGAAACAAAAAUGAAGUUGAUCAAAUGAAUGGAUGAAGGCAACAAGUUUGCAGAACACCAACAAAAAGACGUGACCAACUGGAACAAAUCUGGGGCAGGAAUUCCCUAAAAGGCUAUUUUUCCCUGGCACUAUGGAAGAAGCAAAAUGACAAUGUCUGACACCAAAAGAAGAAAAAUCCCUGGGACCACAAAUAUUUUAUCCACUGGAUUCUACCGUAUUUUCCUUUGCUGCAAGACCUUUCCGGGCUGAGUUGAUGGCGUUUGGUUUUGGAGAAAACGAGAACGAUUCCACUUUAAUUGGGAAUGCUAUUGCUCCUGUGGCACAAGCCUGUCUUAUGAAAUGAAUAUGCUUGGAUUGUGGUAGACCUUCUAAAAGCAAAGGCAGCAGAACCCCCUGGUGAUAGAAAGAUGUGUACAGGUUCUUUGCUAUGCUCUUCCUAUACAAGUGUUAAACUUGUGUCUGCACAAUUGGUCCCCACGAUACCUGUCUGCAGCAGGAUCCGUAGCGCCUUACGUUAAAAUAAGGUGUACAAUAUAGCACGAUUUUCCACUGUUUUUCUAUUAUUUUCUCAGUAGACGAAGCAAUCCACAUCCUCGGGCCCAAGGUAGCAACAGGAUAUACAUUUGGGUUACACAGUCUCCCUCACUCCCUGAGUGAUACUCAGUCUUAGUAUACAGGGGUGCACUGCGCUCAUCAAACAUUUUUUAAUUUGUAAUCUUUAUUUUCCUGCUCAUCCAUCGUCCCAUGUGUAGGAAACUGUUGAAUUAAGCACAAUGUUUGAAUGAAUAUGUACAGUGUCUCAUGUUGUAUCCUUGAAACAAACUACAAUGGUGAAAGCAAGUUAAACCUUUAGGAUAUUCACAUUCAUGGAGGACGCCAUCGACGGAACGAUGUUAGACUUUUCCUAGUCCCUGAGACCCUAACUUGUGAGGAUUUUUUAUCACUGAUCACAAGUUUGGCUCUUGGGACCUAGGCGGAGGGGAACCAGCAGCUCUGGACUCUAUUAAUCGUGUAUCUGCGACUUUGAAUUAAUAAAUUAUUUAAUUGGGUCUGAGAUAGUUAAUGUAUAUGACAUUUGGUUUUGGAUUGGGUCUGGGGGAUGGCAGGAAUGCUCUAACAAUAAAAAAAAUAUAUAAUAUAUAUAUAUAAAAUAUAUAAUAUAUAUAACGCACGGGUUGCUUUAUGUACUAUGUAUGUUAAAAUACCUGGUUUAAUGCAAAAUAACUAUUAUCUUUUUUUAAACAAAUGUGUUUUAUGUUCAAUGCUAUUCUUAUACAAUUUUCUAUUAUAUAAUAUAGCAUUAAAAAUUAGAACAUGUUGCUGUUGUGUGGCCCUCUUUUUUAAAUAUAUAUAUAUAUAUAUAUAUAUAUAUAUAUGUACUGUUUUGCUCUUUCGCUGCAAUGUAUAUAUCACAUACAUUAUACAUUAUGAUAUUCAUCUUACUACUUCAUCAUUUACUGAUGUACUUUAUUGACUUGUGAAUGUACCCUGAAAUUAAGGGUAUUACUUGGCCUUUUAAUAUGUAUCACUAUAUUGUUGUUGUUAAAUGUUAUGCAAUACAAAUUGCUGAAUAUAUGAAUACAGUAAAUGGUUACAGUACAGCCCAGAUUGCUUUAUACAUAUUAAUAAACAGUAUAAUUUAAGUAGAACAAUCCUUUUGUUUGUUUAAUUAGCUGCAGUAGGACCACUCGUACGUAUGGCUACAAAAUACAGUAUGUACAAAGCUAUUACUGGUGUGUUCUAUUUCUAUCUAUUUAAAUGAUACUGAUUUGUUUAUUUUCCAUUGUAUUGCUUAUUUAGAUGUUUAAGUCGUGCCCCUUGUUUAUGCUGAAUGGUUACAAAAACAAAUGUUACACUCAGUAUAGAUUACAAUAAAAGAAAAUCAAAGGGACUGUCAAAUGCAGUACACUGUAUUAUAAAAAGCAGACGUGUAAUAAUUAUUGUUAGUAAAUGACUCAUUGGUUUAACAGGGAAAUCCCCGCGCUAUACAUUUUCUAUGUGUAAGUGUACAAUUAGCCCUUCACUUGUGGCUAUGCAUAUUUCAUUGUACAGCUAAUUAUAUCUUUUUUUUGUCUUCCCUAAAACGUAUGAUUGUAGGUAAUAAUAUCAUGCUCCCACUAAAAAGCUUCAGCUUUCGGAUGUCAGCGAGUGAGGGAGGGGGGGAGGGAGAGAAAGAGAAUCAUGUGCGGUGCAUACAAAAAAGGAGGGAUGUUAACAAUUCGAUGAAUUCCUGGCGGGUAGACUAGACUGGUCCAGACGCAUACAUUAACUCCUGUCUACUGCUGAUGUGAGCUUACUCAGUGUGUUGGAAAUGAAGGAUCACCUAGGAUCUGACACCACCUUAUUUGUCCAGUUUAAUUUUUAAAACACAAGAAAACAACGUUACUAAAGCAUUAAUGCCUUAACCCCUUCUAGGCUGCAUACCCCCACCCAACGGAUAUCUCCGACACAAUUUAAUCUACAGUAUAUCCAUCUUUUUUUAUUUUUUUUAAUUAUUUUUUUUGUCGAUUCUGCAUAUUGUCUUAAUUUUGGCUUUUUAUUCAUCAUCAUUUUUGGAAAGUCCUAAUAAUAUAUAUAUUUUUUUGUCAAUAAAGCUACAUUAUGGCCGAGCAAGAUGCUUAAUUUGUUCCAGAGCAGGGUCGGCAGCGAAAUGGUUAACGCAACAGCUGAGCAAAUUAUUUAUGUUAUUAUGUUAAUUACCUUUUUCUGGAAUACUAGAGGGAGAAGAAAGGAAAUACUAAACACUAUGCCCCUCUGAAUCAAGUGAGCACUGCAGGAUACACUG
Long non-coding RNA from Pseudophryne corroboree (corroboree frog), 3440 nucleotides. RefSeq lists it as uncharacterized. Lineage: Eukaryota; Metazoa; Chordata; Amphibia; Anura; Myobatrachidae. The record is from RefSeq and is a predicted model, not a curated record. The transcript has 11 exons.